GCUGGGCUUUGUGGUGCACACCUGUAGUCCUUGCUGCUUGGGAGGCUGAGGUAGAAAGAUUGCUUGAGCCCAGGAAUUGAAGGCCAGCCUGGGAAACAAAGUGAGACAUCCCAUCUCCA
Molecule: small RNA, 119 nt
Filed under: Marmota monax (woodchuck)
Lineage: Eukaryota; Metazoa; Chordata; Mammalia; Rodentia; Sciuridae
Source: RNAcentral